ACCAAAGCAACUUGAUAGGAUGAAUUAUGGAGAGAAAGGAUUAAAUAUGAUUUAUUAAUAUAUUAUGAGAAUAAUAUAUUAAAGGAGAAAUCAUAUUGUUUAAUUGAUAUUAGUCAAGAAUUAAUUAGUAAUUAGUUUUGUGACUAAAAGAGAUUAAUUAAACUUAAGGGACUAGAAUUGUAAUUAUAAGAUAAUUGUAAUUUGGGCUAUGGAUUGUCUUAUAUUAAGGGGUGGAAGAAUUCUAUGGGGAAGCCCAUAAGGAAAUCGUCCAAGGCCCUAAUUAAAGGAGUCCAUGGGUUGCUUAGGGCUUAAGCAUCCAAAUUAGGGUUUCCUUGUUAGAUAACCCUAAUAGCCUCAAUAUAUAUAAGACCUAUAUGACCCAAAAACGUAGAGAAGCAUUCUUCUAGGGUUAGAACACAUUUUUGGGCAGCAUCCUUCCUCUCCCUUUUUCAUCCUCUUGCUUAUGGUGUUUGUGAACCAUUAGAGGAGUGACAUUUGUGACUCUAAGCUUUCUAAAGUCAAUACAAGGAGGAAUUGGGAUUGUUAUUGCUAUAUAAAAAUCAAGGUAANUUAAACCUAUUCUUAUGUUAAUAUGAUUACUUGUAUGCUAGAAUUAGGGUUUAUAGUCUUGGAUAACUUGCAUGUACAAUAGAGAAACCUAGAUCCAAGCAUUAGGGUUUGUAUGAACACAUAGGAUGUUCUUAGGACCAAAACUCAUCAGUGGUAUCAGAGCCUAGACUGGUUUCUAUUGUAUGAUGCAUUGUAUGCUUAAAAAAUUCGAUUUUUGUGGUUCUGGAGGCUGGACUUGCCGAGUCCAUAGAUGAACUCGCCGAGUCCAUGCUGACUCGACGAGUCCAUGCCUGACUCGGCGAGUCGGCUCGUCAAAAGGAGGGAAAAUCGGGAUUUCUUGUUGUUUUUGCUUAAGGAUAGUUUCCUUAUCAUAUUAGAUCAAUAUAAAUCCGAUUUUAUGAUAUAUUUGACUAUAUUCUUGGUCUAAUUGAAGAUAUUUAUCAAUUAAUAAAAUAUUUGUUUCCUUAUGUGAUAAUUGAUUAAUUAUUUUGAUUAAAUUGGUAAAUUGUUUUGCAAGAAAUCAUUAAAUAAAUCAAAUAUGGAUAAUUAUGUGAUUAAAUGUUAAUUUAGAUUAUUUGUUAUUUGAUCCUUGUGUUAUGAAAUGUUUCAUAUUUUCCCCUUUAGGUUUUAUAGUUUAAAUUUGAACCCAAAAGUUUUGUUGUUUUGAAAUUUAAAUAGUUGAAACCCUAAUGUUUUGAAAAAGGUUUCAAAACUUGCCCUCAAGUUUUGGAAUUUAAAUUUUGAUUAAUUGUUUAAUUUUGAUGUAUAUUUAAAUUCUAAACCCUAAUGUUUUGAAAUGUUUCAAAACUUGCCCUCAAGUUUUGGAAUUUAAAAGUUGAUUAAAAGUUUAAUUAGGAAUGUUAAAUUCUAAAACCCUAGUAUUGUUUUGAAAAAGUUCAAAUCACACCCUUAUGGUUUUAUUAAUUAAUUAAGGUGUAUAAUUAAAAGAGGUUUAAUAAAUCCAUAAAGUUUUUGGUUUAAAAUUUAAUUGAAUUAAAAGUAUAAUUGUUAAAUUUGACCACCUAAUAUUUUAAAAGUGUAAAAUACACCCUAUACUAUAUAUAACAUUAAAAGUCUAACAUUAUAUAUAUAUGUGAGUAAAAGUCAGUCUUACCGUUAGUAGGCCUCAUUCACGAAGCUGGUCUAUAAGGGGUGUUUAAGGAAAUUGCCUAUAAAAUGGCGAUUGAAUGGGUAUCCACUCUUACCCACCGCACUCUUGACUAGUGGAGGGUCGUUAGCCGAACGGGUAGGAUAGGACGAAACCUUCCAUUAUAAGUAUAAUGAAUUAUUAAAGUAACUAAAUGUUUUCAUAAAAUUCCCAAUCUUAGUUACUUAGGCAAAAGUGAAUUGAUGCAAUUCCAUGAAAUUACACUUUGUGCCCUUGCGAAGACGUUAGUGGAGCGUGUGUGGUUUACCGGCACACUAAAUGGUUCUAAGCAAAGGUAGCAAAGGGUGACUCAAUGUUUGUCAUAGUUCGGUGGAGCGUGUGUGGUUUACCGGCACAUCGAAUAGGUGACUGUAACAUGUGAGGGCACCAUGUAAGUUUGCAUGGUUAUUCACACCCGCUUUGUGAUCCUCGGCAUCCCAGUCACAAACAAGAGGGGCAUAUCGAGAUUUAAACAUGCCAUUGAAAGUUCAAUGAAUCUCAAAGGAUCUAGGAGUUUUCAUAGAUUUAAAACUUAAAUUUCUUUUUCGUUUUUCAUGGUGGAAAUUAGUGAAUCGUCAUUCACUUACCUUCAAAUAUUCUGCAAUUAGGGUUACGGCAUCCCUCUCCCGAGUUGUAGAAUAUUGUGUUGGGUCCUAGCCUUAGUAUCUCAUUUGGGUGAUUUACUAAGGACUCAAUCAAUCAACUAACUUGAAUUCGUUUUCUCCCGUUUUGUAGAUGUCAAAGUUCGACAACUAUGGUCUUCCCAAAUCCCGUGGAACAAGCAUUCCACAUGAAGAUGAUAUUCCACGAUUCGAUCGAGGAACAAGAAAUCAUGCUUCACUUCCUCCUCCUCCUCCAAUUAUUCUCCCUAACCCACAAGUUCAAAGGCUUGAAAAGUUCAAGAUCACUCAAGCCCUUUUGGCAAGUAAACAUAAAGAAGGAAAGUCGGUGUGUGCACACGUCCUAGGGAUGAAGUCACACAUUGAUAGGUUAAGAAUGUUGGGAUCCGUUGUCUGUGAGGAAAUGGCUGUUGAUUGGGUUCUUCAGUCACUUCCUAACUCAUAUAGUGAGUUCGUAAGAGAGUACUAUAUGAUGAACCGCGACGUGACCCUUAUAGAUCUCACCUAUAUGCUUAUUGCUGCUGAAUCAGCAAUGGUUUGGCGCAAUAGAAAAGCAAAGUUGAUUGGUGAAUCUGCCUUCAAGACCUCUAUGGAUAUAGACAAUGGCAACGAAAGACAUGCUAUGAUCGAAAAGUUUGAUCAUAAGAGAAAGGCAAUGUCUGAAGUAGUUCCAUGUCAUGUUCCAAAAGAGUCAAUUUGCUUUUAUUGCCAAGAGAAAGGGCAUUGGAGACGAAGCUGCCCCAUUUACCUAAGAGAUCUAAGAGAUGGGAGAGUCGAAACGUAUGGCUCUAAUAUAGGUAAAAUCCAUUAACUAACUCUUUUAAGCUUCUAUUCUAGAUUCUUAAUACAUAAUGUGAUAAGAUUACAAUUGAUGUUUUGUAGGAUCGAAGAAAAGAAAGGAAGCUUAAGGGAAGAAGUGAGCAGAAUCUAACCGUGAAGGAAUGGAUUUCGAUCGCAUUUCUCGAAGAUUAGAUUCUUGAGCUACUACUUAGAGUUAGAAUUAGAUUGCUAAGAAAGAUGUAUUAGCAUAGUUUUUCAAUGAAUUGCAUUGUAAGGACAAAUUUUUUCCGCAAUAAAAUAAAUUUUGAUUUUAUAUUAUUUAUUUAUCCUUGCAAUGGCGUAUAUGAAAAAUUGAUGUUUGAAUGUUUCUAUUAUUAGCAAUAAUGGAUUUGGUUCUUAUUAUGUUAUUUAUGGAAAGUCGAGAAUUUACCAAAUAGGGAGAGUUUCUCAUCGCCCAAGUUUCAAUUGGACAGAAACUUGGAAUCAUGCAACUUGGUUGCACGAUGAAUGAGAAAUUUCAUAUUUGGAAAUUAGACUAAUUCAUUGACAAAGUGUCAAGUGAAGGACUAGGAGAUCGAGUACACAAAGUUGCGUGUUGAUCAAGUCCACCAUAAGAGUAACAAAGAUAUUCGUCAUGAUUUACUAAAGGUUUAGUAAAUAUGAUUAUACUUACAAGAUUAAGUGUAAUUCUGAAUUGAUUGAAAAAGUUUAAAUCAAUAGCAGAACGAAUAAGAAGAAUCAAGUAGGCAGAAAGAUAAAAGUUUCUCCAUUCUAAGAAGAAGGGAGAGUACCUUUUAUGCUUUAUGAUAGGUCUUAAUGAUUAAGAACCAUAUCUCAAUUGAUCCUCUAAGUGAGUCUUAGUACAAUUGUAUGUCUAAGAAGAGGAAUCAAGAAUUGAAGAAAUGGUUAAAUCAAGAAGUCAAUCAUACUUCGUUCCAAAACAAGUCUUAGAGUUAAGAUUGUGACAUUGAGUGAAAAGUAUUAAGAAGGUUUAUAACAUUCAUCAAAUGUGGAAAGUUGUGAUGUCUUGGAUAAGACAAAGACCAACUAGGACCAAUUUAUGAAGUGUUUUGAUAAAAGCUACACUAACUCUUGAAUAUUUGUUUGUCAAGAAAUGUUUAUUGACAAGAGAAUCUUAUAUGUCAAGGAGUCAGUGGGAGUCUUAAUGGUCUUGAAAGGUUUCAAGAACAAAUCAAAUAAACCUUAUCGAUCAUCACUAGCACACGAGUUGAGGUUUACAACCUAUCGUGUUGACAUUAUUUUGUUUCUGUGCCAAUCCAAUCGAGUUAAUUAUGCAUGUGAGUUCUAUGAGUUCUCAUUUUGAACGCAUAAAAGGCAAAGCACCUUAAUCAAUGAAAGGUACAUUGAUAGGAAAGGGUGAGCUGCUUAACUACUUGGAAGACAUGGUGGGCAGCUGUGCUACCAUAAGGCAAGAAAUCAAGAUUAAGAAAGUUCGGUCCAUAUGAGUUUGAAUUUGUCGUAAACUUUGGUUUUAACAAAUUCACAUGGAUAGGAACACAUACACCGUUUAAAUCUAAGUGUCAUAAGAUUUCCUCCUUCAUGAAAAUGAUUGUGAGGAAAUGCUUUCACUAAGAAAGAUUUUAAGAAGAUAGUGAUUGUAAAAUUGCAUUCUCGAAUUCGAUUAUGGUUACGGUAUCCCUUUCCAUAAUUUGAAUUGUGAGGUUUGGCAAUUAGUCUUAAUUGUUUAGACACACAUAUGAACUAUCGAAGGCAAAGGUGUAUAAGUUCAAGAAGCCUUGAUAAAAGAUUAUCAAAGCACUAAGUAUUAGAAACAUGAACUUAAGAAAUUCAAUAAGUAUUGUUUUUCUGAAAGUUAAGAUGUUUAUGAAUACAUGUCGAAGCUAGUGGGAGCAUAAGUGUUAUGUUUUAUAAUAAUCAUCAUGAUAGUGGGAGCAUAAAUGUUAUGAUUGUAUGAUUAUUAAGGAAAGUAUUGCAAGUUGGCAAUAUUAAUUAUAGAAAACAAGAGUCAUACUUUGCAAAGUUGUAAGGAUGGAAUAGUUGUUUUGCUAUAAUUAAGGGAGAGAAUAUUAUGCUUCAUUUCAAAUCUAAAGGCUUAGGUUGAGAAAUGUUAAUAAAUUUAGUCAAAGGUACAUAGUGUGUUCUUAAAAUUUCGAUUAUGAUUACGGCAUCCCUCUUCACAAUUCGAAUUUUGAGAACAUAGCAAAUAAAACAUUAUGCGUCGUGUCCCAUACGCUUCGGGUAUAGGAUCGAUUGCAAAUGCUUUAAUGUUUGACCAUUCUAAAAUUUUCCAAAUGUCGAGCGCAUUUAGAGGGAAAAGGGACUAGAAUUGGUUUUGACUAAAAUAAUUAAACAACUAUCAAAGGACAAUCCAAGUUCGACGAGGAUUGGUCGCUUGUGAGUAGUUGGAAGUAUAGUAUUGGAAAAUAUGGAAAUGUUUCCAUAUUGGAUGGACCAUAUCGACAUUAUUACGAAUAGAUAAGAUUCUAUUAAGAAUGAGUUGUCAUAUGGAACAUAUGGAAGUGUGUCCAUAUUGGGAAUUGAAUAUUGAGAAAUCUAUGACUAGAUUAGAAACUUCUAUGCAAAAGGAUGUUCAAAGAAUGUACUUUGAGUGAGAGACAUCACGUCUAUGGAAUUGUCUUGUAACAAUCUCCGAUAGAGGACUUUGUAAUAUCAUUGGCAAUAGUCUUUGUGACUUUGGUGCAGUGACAUUACGAAAGGAUAGUUGCAUAGAAUGUUAGAAUCUAGCAUAUUCUAUAAGUAGCAAGAAUUUGAUAUUCUUUGACUUAUGAAAAACGGAUUUGGAGUUGUGAAAUGAGAAGGAUUGGAAAUGUGUUCAAUGUGAUCUAUUUCACAAAGUAAGAACCAUAGGUAAACAUUGUGUGCAUGCUAGGAGCAUGGGACAAGUGUUGGAAUUCAAGUAAGAAGUUGAUUACCCGAAACGACAAAUAAUGAGUAAUCAAUAUGGUGAUAAAUAAAAGGUGUUUUAUUUAUACUCAAAGGUUUGAGGCCAUAUGGGAUUAGUAUUAUUCUUGUGUUUCACAUUUGCAUGUUUUGACUUUCUGAAUAAUUUAAUUAGUUAAGAACAGUCAAAUUAUUCGAACGGACCACAGUCAUUCAUAUGUUGGAAGUAGAUACGAAAGAAGAUUGUCGUGAAUUGGUGUGUGGAUUGUAUAAAGAGCAUUAGACAUAAGCAAAUCUUUGCUGCAACGUUCAUGAGUGCUUAUGAAUAUGAUUUGAGCAUUGGAUUAAACCCACGCUCACUUGGAUCACUCCAUGAAUUGUAUCACGAGUGAUUGGUGAGACGAUAACAUCUUAUAUUCUUGAAACCGAGAUGUGUGAGUUGUAUCUUGCGAAUCGGUUGCACAUUGAUAAUAUGUAAACGCACUAGUAACUUGGUGUUAUAAAACAUAUUGUUGUGUGUGAUUCGGUGAGUGAGUGCAAGCAAGCAUUGUAUCAAAGUUUAUCCGUUCCUUUUAUCCAAAGUAGGAUAAAAGCGAUAUCUUUGGGCCCCUCGAUGAUUUAAUGAUGACAAACGUAAAUGCUCGGCCGGGCUAGGGCUAAUUUGAUUUGUUCAAUUAGUCAGUCGUCAUAAAUCGGAAAUCGAGAUAUAGUACAAAGAGAAUGAUUUGAAAUCAUAUCUCAUAUGAUAUCUAGAAUGGAGGAAUAUAUGAUCCCUUAUCUAAGGACACGCGUAUUUGAUAGGAUCAGAGUUGACAGCGGCUUUGGAAAGCUACGAUUGCAGAUCAGGAUCUGAAGUCAUAUGCAUAAUAGUUAUUAGACUUAUCCAAGUGGGAGACUGUUGGAUUAGUGUCUAAGUCCAUAACUAUUUUGGUAUGUACUUGACCCGAUGGUGCAUGGUCCUUUUGGGUUGCCUUCACCAAAGCAACUUGAUAGGAUGAAUUAUGGAGAGAAAGGAUUAAAUAUGAUUUAUUAAUAUAUUAUGAGAAUAAAAUAUUAAAGGCGAAAUCAUAUUGUUUAAUUAGUAUUAGUCAAUAAUUAAUUGGUAAUUAGUUUUGUGACUAAAAGAGAUUAAUUAAACUUAAGGGACUAGAAUUGUAAUUAUAAGAUAAUUGUAAUUUGGGCUAUGGAUUGUCUUAUAUUAAGGGGUGGACAAAUUCUAUGGGGAAACCCAUAAGGAAAUCGUCCAAGGCCCUAAUUAAAGUAGUCCAUGGGUUGCUUAGGGCUUAAGCAUCCAAAUUAGGGUUUCCUUGUUAGAUAACCCUAAUAGCCUCACUAUAUAUAAGACCCUUAUGACCCAAAAAUGUAGAGAAGCAUUCUUCUAGGGUUAGAACACGUUUUUGGGCAGCCUCCAUCCUCUCCCCUUUUCAUCCUCUUGCUUAUGGUGUUUGUGAACCAUUAGAGGAGUGACAUUUAUGACUCUAAGCUUUCAAAAGUCAAUACAAGGAGGAAUUGGGAUUGUUAUUGCUAUAUAACAAUCAAGGUAAUAUCUUAAACCUAUUCUCAUGUUAAUAUGAUUACUUGAAUGCUAGAAUUAGGGUUUAUAGUCUUGGAUAACUUGCAUGUACAAUAGAGAAACCUAGAUCCAAGCAUUAGGGUUUGUAUGAGCACAUAGGAUGUCUUAUGACCAAAACUCAUCAGGGAUAUAUCCAGAGUAUGCUACGAUUGUCAAGUCAUAUUCAUUUCCGAUCAAUGAAAAACCAAAAUUAUUCAGGUUAGCAUACGAAUCUGCAAGGAAGGAUGUGGAACGAGCGUUUGGAUUCCUAAAACAAAAGUGGGACAUAAUCA
This 7845-nucleotide long non-coding RNA is filed under the name Lactuca sativa (garden lettuce). Its description in RNAcentral is "long non-coding RNA (LSAT_LNC002561)". Lineage: Eukaryota; Viridiplantae; Streptophyta; Magnoliopsida; Asterales; Asteraceae. The record is from RNAcentral.